CAAUAGCGUAUAUUAAAGUUGUUGCAGUUAAAAAGCUCGUAGCUGGAUUUCUGGUGGGAGCGAUCGGUCUGGCGCUUAGCGCGAGUACUUGCAUCGUCUCCGGCCAUCCUUGGGGAGAGUCUGUCUGGCAUUAGGUUGUCGGGCAGAGGAUCCUCAUCGUUUACUGUGAAAAAAUUAGAGUGUUCAAAGCAGGCUUAUGCCGUUGAAUAUAUUAGCAUGGAAUAAUAAGAUAGGACUUUGGUACUAUUUUGUUGGUUUGCGCACCAAAGUAAUGAUUAAUAGGGACAGUUGGGGGUAUUCGUAUUCCGUUGUCAGAGGUGAAAUUCUUGGAUUUACGGAAGACGAACUACUGCGAAAGCAUUUACCAAGGAUGUUUUCAUUAA
Molecule: ribosomal RNA, 383 nt
Filed under: uncultured eukaryote
Lineage: Eukaryota
Description: partial 18S ribosomal RNA
Rfam family: Eukaryotic small subunit ribosomal RNA
Source: RNAcentral